RNAcentral lists this ribosomal RNA (494 nucleotides) under uncultured bacterium. Its description in RNAcentral is "bacterial SSU rRNA". It matches the Rfam family "Bacterial small subunit ribosomal RNA", at positions 29 to 513 of the family's 1533-position model. The record is from RNAcentral.
AGUGAACGCUGGCGGCAGGCCUAAUACAUGCAAGUCGAACGGCAGCACAGCAGAGCUUGCUCUGUGGGUGGCGAGUGGCGGACGGGUGAGGAAUACAUGGGAAUCUGCCCAGUCGUGGGGGAUAACGUAUGGAAACGUACGCUAAUACCGCAUGCGCCCUACGGGGGAAAGUCGGGGACCGCAAGGCCUGACGCGAUUGGAUGAGCCCAUGUUCGAUUAGCUAGUUGGCGGGGUAAAGGCCCACCAAGGCGACGAUCGAUAGCUGGUCUGAGAGGAUGAUCAGCCACACUGGAACUGAGACACGGUCCAGACUCCUACGGGAGGCAGCAGUAGGGAAUAUUGGACAAUGGGGGCAACCCUGAUCCAGCCAUGCCGCGUGAGUGAAGAAGGCCCUCGGGUUGUAAAGCUCUUUUGUCCGGAAGAAAGCAAUCGGUUAAUACCCGGUUGUUCUGACGGUACCGGAAGAAUAAGCACCGGCUAACUUCGUGCCAGCA